CCACAGUGGGGAAGUAUGUUUCUUCCAGCUUCAAAAGAUAAAAAGUACAAUGAAGAACACUAUUAUUGUUCAGAAUGGACUGAUGAUGAAAAACAGAGGACUCCACCAUGGAAGUAUUAAAUUUGCGGAGAAUAGCCUAUCUGAAAUUCAGAAUGGACUGAUGAUGAAAAGCAAAGAGGACUCCACCAUGGAAGUAUUAAAUUUGCGGAGAAUAGCCGAUCUGAACGUGGAAGAAAGCACAUGAUUUCCUCCGCUGUUACCCCACCUAAUUCUACUCCUGUCCACGUUUGAUGAAAAAUACUGUAUAAUAGAGAAUUGUGAUUGGUUGCAAAUUAUAGCUCACCUAUAAGCAUGCAAUCAUGAAUCUAUUAUCAGUAGUUUAUGUAUGUCCUGAUAUAUAUCCCUUUUUAGUAGUAAUUACUAUAUAUUUCAAAAUAUUCUACUCUAACUUGGUCUUGCUCUUGUAUUGCUCGAGAUAAUUACUCCUUCCAAUAUCUGCAUUUUCUCAUAGUGAUUCUCAAAGCUUUAAAUUGAAAGAGCUAAUCAAGAUUUUAC
This 555-nucleotide long non-coding RNA is filed under the name Nicotiana benthamiana. RNAcentral's name for it is "long non-coding RNA (NBEN_LNC013253)". Lineage: Eukaryota; Viridiplantae; Streptophyta; Magnoliopsida; Solanales; Solanaceae. The record is from RNAcentral.